This 1443-nucleotide ribosomal RNA is filed under the name metagenome. Its description in RNAcentral is "bacterial LSU rRNA". It matches the Rfam family "Bacterial large subunit ribosomal RNA", at positions 1431 to 2925 of the family's 2925-position model. The record is from RNAcentral.
CAAAAUUCCGGACCCGGGAUAUGAGCACUGGGAGGACGCUUAUCGAUGUUUCAUCCCGCACUGUUGGUAGUUGCGGGCUAGUAAGAGGCUGGGCAAGUUGGAAGAUUUGCGGAAAGGCUGAAUACGGGGAAGGGAUCUCUUCGGAGUGAACGAACUGAAACUGAGGUGGGCCGAGAAAAGCCCCAAAGGCGUUAAUCAUAUUUCCGACCGUACUGUAAACCGACACAGGUGGGUGAGUCGAGGAGACUAAGGCGUUCGAGAGAACUCUCGUUAAGGAACUAGGCAAACGAGCCCCGUAACUUCGGGAUAAGGGGCGCCUCGAAAGAGGUCGCAGCGAAGCAGCCCAGGCGACUGUUUACCAAAAACACAGGUCUCUGCUAAGACGAAAGUCGAUGUAUAGGGGCUGACGCCUGCCCAAUGCCAGUAGGUUAACAGGAGAUGUCAGACGUAAGUUGAAGCAUUGAAUCGAAGCCCUGGUGAAUGGCGGCCGUAACUCUAACGGUCCUAAGGUAGCGAAAUUCCUUGUCGGCUAAAUACCGACCCGCAUGAAAGGCGUAACGACUUGGGCACUGUCUCAACGAGAAGCUCGGUGAAAUUGUAGCACCCGUGAAGAUGCGGGUUAUGCGCAGUAGGACGGAAAGACCCCUGGAGCUUUACUACACCCUGUCAUUGGGAUUCGGAUGUAGAUGUAGAGCGUAGGUGGGAGCUUCGGCACCAAUGGAACACCACCCUUUUGCAUCUGGAUUCCUAACGCUUGCCCUUAUCGGGUACGCGGACAAUGACUGGCGGGUAGUUUGACUGGGGCGGUCGCCUCCCAAAAGGUAACGGAGGCGCCUAAAGGUGCACUCAGGCUGGUUGGAAAUCAGCCGUUGAGCGUAUAGGUAUACAGUGCGCUUGACUGCGAGACAGACAGGUCGAGCAGGGACGAAAGUCGAGCUAAGUGACCCUCUGGUGGUGCGGGGGCACGCCAGGGUUCAUCGGAUAUAAGCUACCCCGGGGAUAACAGGCUGAUCUUGCCCGAGCGCUCACAGCGACGGCAUGGUUUGGCACCUCGAUGUCGGCUCGUCGCAUCCUGGGGCUGUACACGGUCCCAAGGGUUCCGGAGUUCACGGAUUAAAGCGGCACGCGAGCUGGGUUCAGAACGGCGUGAGCCAGUUCGGUCCCUAUCCACUGCGCACGUAGGAAAUUUGAGAGGAGUCGCUCUUAGUACGAGAGGACCGGAGCGAACCGACCUCUGGUGUACCGGUUGUUCCGCCAGGAGCAUACGCCGGGUAGCCACGUCGGGCCGUGAUAAGCGCUGAAAGCAUCUAAGCGCCAAGCACACCUCAAGAUGAAAUUUCCCAUCAAAUGAGUAAGACCCCCGGAAGACUACCGGUUUGAUAGGUCGCGGCUGUGAGGGCAGUAAUGUCCUAAGGUGAGCGAUACUAAGCGGUCGAGGGCUAA